CCUACGGGAGGCAGCAGUGGGGAAUAUUGGACAAUGGGGGGAACCCUGAUCCAGCGACGCCGCGUGAGUGAUGAAGUAUUUCGGUAUGUAAAGCUCUAUCAGCAGGGAAGAAAAUGACGGUACCUGACUAAGAAGCCCCGGCUAACUACGUGCCAGCAGCCGCGGUAAUACGUAGGGGGCAAGCGUUAUCCGGAUUUACUGGGUGUAAAGGGAGCGUAGACGGUGCAGCAAGUCUGAUGUGAAAGGUCGGGGCCCAACCCCGGGACUGCAUUGGAAACUGUAUGGCUGGAGUGCAGGAGAGGUAAGUGGAAUUCCUGGUGUAGCGGUGAAAUGCGUAGAUAUUAGGAGGAACACCAGUGGCGAAGGCAGCUUACUGGACUGUAACUGACGUUGAGGCUCGAAAGCGUGGGGAGCAAACAGGAUUAGAUACCCCAGUAGUC
RNAcentral lists this ribosomal RNA (440 nucleotides) under uncultured bacterium. RNAcentral's name for it is "partial 16S ribosomal RNA". It matches the Rfam family "Bacterial small subunit ribosomal RNA", at positions 338 to 795 of the family's 1533-position model. The record is from RNAcentral.